AAUUGACGGGGAGCACCACAACGGGUGGAGCUUGCGGUUUAAUGGAUCAACGCCGGAAAUCUUACCGGGACCGACAGCAAUAUGAAGGCCAGGCUGAAGACUUUGCCGGAUUAGCUGAGAGGUGGUGCAUGGCCGUCGUCAGUUCGUACUGUGAAGCAUCCUGUUAAGUCAGGCAACGAGCGAGACCCACGCCCACAGUUGCCAGCGUACUCUCUGGAGUGACGGGUACACUGUGGGGACCGCCGCUGCUAAAGAGGAGGAAGGAAUGGGCAACGGUAGGUCAGCAUGCCCCGAAUUAUCUGGGCUACACGCGGGCUACAAUGGGUGGGACAAUGGGUAUCGACACCGAAAGGUGAAGGCAAUCUCCUAAACCCAUCCUUAGUUCGGAUUGUGGGCUGCAGCUCGCCCACAUGAAGCUGGAAUCUGUAGUAAUCGUGUUUCAAAAUAGCACGGUGAAUAUGUCCCUGCUCCUU
Molecule: ribosomal RNA, 473 nt
Filed under: uncultured Methanolinea sp.
Lineage: Archaea; Methanobacteriati; Methanobacteriota; Methanomicrobia; Methanomicrobiales; Methanoregulaceae
Description: bacterial SSU rRNA
Rfam family: Archaeal small subunit ribosomal RNA
Source: RNAcentral